RNAcentral lists this ribosomal RNA (2758 nucleotides) under Klebsiella pneumoniae. Its description in RNAcentral is "partial 23S ribosomal RNA". It matches the Rfam family "Bacterial large subunit ribosomal RNA". Lineage: Bacteria; Pseudomonadati; Pseudomonadota; Gammaproteobacteria; Enterobacterales; Enterobacteriaceae. The record is from RNAcentral.
CACUAUCGUUAACUGAAUACAUAGGUUAACGAGGCGAACCGGGGGAACUGAAACAUCUAAGUACCCCGAGGAAAAGAAAUCAACCGAGAUUCCCCCAGUAGCGGCGAGCGAACGGGGAGCAGCCCAGAGUCUGAAUCAGCUUGUGUGUUAGUGGAACGGUCUGGAAAGUCCGACGGUACAGGGUGAUAGUCCCGUACACCAAAAUGCACAGGCUGUGAACUCGAAGAGUAGGGCGGGACACGUGGUAUCCUGUCUGAAUAUGGGGGGACCAUCCUCCAAGGCUAAAUACUCCUGACUGACCGAUAGUGAACCAGUACCGUGAGGGAAAGGCGAAAAGAACCCCGGCGAGGGGAGUGAAAAAGAACCUGAAACCGUGUACGUACAAGCAGUGGGAGCACCUUCGGGUGUGACUGCGUACCUUUUGUAUAAUGGGUCAGCGACUUAUAUUCUGUAGCAAGGUUAACCGUAUAGGGGAGCCGCAGGGAAACCGAGUCUUAACUGGGCGUUAAGUUGCAGGGUAUAGACCCGAAACCCGGUGAUCUAGCCAUGGGCAGGUUGAAGGUUGGGUAACACUAACUGGAGGACCGAACCGACUAAUGUUGAAAAAUUAGCGGAUGACUUGUGGCUGGGGGUGAAAGGCCAAUCAAACCGGGAGAUAGCUGGUUCUCCCCGAAAGCUAUUUAGGUAGCGCCUCGUGAAUUCAUCUUCGGGGGUAGAGCACUGUUUCGGCUAGGGGGUCAUCCCGACUUACCAACCCGAUGCAAACUACGAAUACCGAAGAAUGUUAUCACGGGAGACACACGGCGGGUGCUAACGUCCGUCGUGAAGAGGGAAACAACCCAGACCGCCAGCUAAGGUCCCAAAGUCAUGGUUAAGUGGGAAACGAUGUGGGAAGGCACAGACAGCCAGGAUGUUGGCUUAGAAGCAGCCAUCAUUUAAAGAAAGCGUAAUAGCUCACUGGUCGAGUCGGCCUGCGCGGAAGAUGUAACGGGGCUAAACCAUGCACCGAAGCUGCGGCAGCGACACUAUGUGUUGUUGGGUAGGGGAGCGUUCUGUAAGCCUGCGAAGGUGUGCUGUGAGGCAUGCUGGAGGUAUCAGAAGUGCGAAUGCUGACAUAAGUAACGAUAAAGCGGGUGAAAAGCCCGCUCGCCGGAAGACCAAGGGUUCCUGUCCAACGUUAAUCGGGGCAGGGUGAGUCGACCCCUAAGGCGAGGCCGAAAGGCGUAGUCGAUGGGAAACAGGUUAAUAUUCCUGUACUUGGUGUUACUGCGAAGGGGGGACGGAGAAGGCUAUGUUAGCCGGGCGACGGUUGUCCCGGUUUAAGCAUGUAGGCUGGUUGUCCAGGCAAAUCCGGAUAAUCAAGGCUGAGGUGUGAUGACGAGGCACUACGGUGCUGAAGUAACAAAUGCCCUGCUUCCAGGAAAAGCCUCUAAGCAUCAGGUAACAUCAAAUCGUACCCCAAACCGACACAGGUGGUCAGGUAGAGAAUACCAAGGCGCUUGAGAGAACUCGGGUGAAGGAACUAGGCAAAAUGGUGCCGUAACUUCGGGAGAAGGCACGCUGGUGUGUAGGUGAAGUCCCUGCGGAUGGAGCUGAGACCAGUCGAAGAUACCAGCUGGCUGCAACUGUUUAUUAAAAACACAGCACUGUGCAAACACGAAAGUGGACGUAUACGGUGUGACGCCUGCCCGGUGCCGGAAGGUUAAUUGAUGGGGUUAUCCGUAAGGAGAAGCUCUUGAUCGAAGCCCCGGUAAACGGCGGCCGUAACUAUAACGGUCCUAAGGUAGCGAAAUUCCUUGUCGGGUAAGUUCCGACCUGCACGAAUGGCGUAAUGAUGGCCAGGCUGUCUCCACCCGAGACUCAGUGAAAUUGAACUCGCUGUGAAGAUGCAGUGUACCCGCGGCAAGACGGAAAGACCCCGUGAACCUUUACUAUAGCUUGACACUGAACAUUGAGCCUUGAUGUGUAGGAUAGGUGGGAGGCUUUGAAGCGUGGACGCCAGUCUGCGUGGAGCCAACCUUGAAAUACCACCCUUUAAUGUUUGAUGUUCUAACGUUGGCCCCUGACCGGGGUUGCGGACAGUGUCUGGUGGGUAGUUUGACUGGGGCGGUCUCCUCCCAAAGCGUAACGGAGGAGCACGAAGGUUAGCUAAUCCUGGUCGGACAUCAGGAGGUUAGUGCAAUGGCAUAAGCUAGCUUGACUGCGAGCGUGACGGCGCGAGCAGGUGCGAAAGCAGGUCAUAGUGAUCCGGUGGUUCUGAAUGGAAGGGCCAUCGCUCAACGGAUAAAAGGUACUCCGGGGAUAACAGGCUGAUACCGCCCAAGAGUUCAUAUCGACGGCGGUGUUUGGCACCUCGAUGUCGGCUCAUCACAUCCUGGGGCUGAAGUAGGUCCCAAGGGUAUGGCUGUUCGCCAUUUAAAGUGGUACGCGAGCUGGGUUUAGAACGUCGUGAGACAGUUCGGUCCCUAUCUGCCGUGGGCGCUGGAGAAUUGAGGGGGGCUGCUCCUAGUACGAGAGGACCGGAGUGGACGCAUCACUGGUGUUCGGGUUGUCAUGCCAAUGGCACUGCCCGGUAGCUAAAUGCGGAAGAGAUAAGUGCUGAAAGCAUCUAAGCACGAAACUUGCCCCGAGAUGAGUUCUCCCUGAGACUUUAAGUCUCCUGAAGGAACGUUAAAGACGAUGACGUUGAUAGGCCGGGUGUGUAAGCGCAGCGAUGCGUUGAGCUAACCGGUACUAAUGAACCGUGAGGCUUAACCUU